Long non-coding RNA from Rhagoletis zephyria (snowberry fruit fly), 97 nucleotides. RefSeq lists it as uncharacterized. Lineage: Eukaryota; Metazoa; Arthropoda; Insecta; Diptera; Tephritidae. The record is from RefSeq and is a predicted model, not a curated record.
GUACAUUCCAAAUAAUUUUUGACACUUCCCGCAGCGAAGCAAGCAAAGCGAGCAUGCAUUGGGCCAGUACCUUAAGACUUUGAGUUUUUUAUCCAGC